This 1115-nucleotide long non-coding RNA is filed under the name Strigops habroptila (Kakapo). RNAcentral describes it as "lncRNA (ENSSHBG00005006923.1)". Lineage: Eukaryota; Metazoa; Chordata; Aves; Psittaciformes; Psittacidae. The record is from RNAcentral.
UGCUGGGCUCUAAAUGCAGGAGCAGCAGGUACUUGCCAACCUCCUGCUGCUAAAGUUCGUGGUCUCUGUUCUCCCACAUGCUCAUCCAAAUGUUAAUUUUAUGGACACCUUUAUAAAUCUUGAAGCUUUCCCCUGUCCCCAGGCUACAUAGAUUUCAUCUUAUUGAGAGGUGACACUUCUGGCCUUUGGUACCAGCCUAUAUUGAUAUUAAUACCCUGAGACUCAUAAAAAACGUGGGACCGUAUUAAUUCAUGAUUACUCUGCUGCUCCUUUCUGUACCUCUUUCUGUGCCAUCUGAAAUCCUAGGAUGUUGAGUAACUGCCUCAGCUGCUGGCAGAGCCACAGGCUUGGGACAGCAACAAGCAGAGCCAGCCUCCCAGCUAGAAUAACUACAUGGUUUCUAAAUUGUGAGCUGCUCUUCUCCUGCUUGCCAAGAAGAUGGAGGUUCAUGAUCACCUUUCUGUUAGAUCUGGCAAUCUGGAGAAAAGCUUGUAUCCCACCUCUGAGACCCUUCCAUGUGUUCUGAACAGAGGACACCUGCAAGUCUGCCAGCCACACAGUGUAUUGAUUUGCCAGGCUGAAAGGAAAGGCAUUUCUCUGCUCACUGUGAGACAGCCUUGCUGUCGACAAGCCUGGAAGAACAUGUUUAGGUCAUUCCAUCAAUGUAAAGGUUAAAUGUUUAGCUGCAGCUAUUGAAAACAAAGCAACUGCAGCAGCAGCAGCAGCAACAACAGCAGCAAAAGAAUUGGAUGGAUUUAAGAGUCAAUGUCUGGAUUUAAGAUUUGCAUCUAAGCACUCAGCAGGUGUAGUGCACUGGUUCUCACUGGACAGAGCUGCCUCGCAGCACUUCUUCCCCUGUGAGCAGCGGUGCAACGGCUCAGCCCUGCUCCACCCCAGCUCACAGCUUUGCAACAUGCAUCACUGGACUCAAAUUUUUGCCUGGGGAUUUUGAAGAAGCUCUGAUGUUUUAAGGCAUGGCCAUACAAUUUCUGCUCUCUCUGCUGAUUAAGAGGGCCUCUUUAUAUUGUAGCUGUACUUUUAGCCGCUCAUGCUCUGUGAGAAUGCCAGUGACCUACUCGAAGAGUUAUCUGAAUACAGGUCUUUUGUUAAGUAAA